This 253-nucleotide ribosomal RNA is filed under the name uncultured bacterium. Its description in RNAcentral is "partial 16S ribosomal RNA". It matches the Rfam family "Bacterial small subunit ribosomal RNA", at positions 524 to 776 of the family's 1533-position model. The record is from RNAcentral.
UACAGAGGGGGCAAGCGUUGUUCGGAAUUACUGGGCGUAAAGGGCGCGUAGGCGGCCUGCUAAGUCGAACGUGAAAUCCCUGGGCUCAACCCAGGAACUGCGUCCGAUACUGGUCGGCUUGAAUCCGGGAGAGGGAUGUGGAAUUCCAGGUGUAGCGGUGAAAUGCGUAGAUAUCUGGAGGAACACCGGUGGCGAAGGCGACAUCCUGGACCGGUAUUGACGCUGAGGCGCGAAAGCCAGGGGAGCAAACGGG